UAAGUUUUCAUAUAUUAUUCAAUUCGUAUAGUUAUCUUGGUUGUCUUGUUUCUUUAGUAUGUUUUAUGUUUGAAGUUUGAGUCUUUCUUGUGAUUGACAAAUAGGAGGGAGGUGAUGAGGAAGAUACAAUAAUAAGGGUUUAUUUCCAUAUGAGUUGUUUGUGAAGCUUUUUAACUCAAAAAAGGUUGAAUUACGUCCAUUUGGCCUCACAAAUUGCGGGAACAGUUGUUAUGCUAAUGCUGUCCUUCAGUGCCUAGCGUUUACUCCACCCUUCACGGCUUACUUCCUUCAAGGCUUCCAUUCAAAAGGAUGUAUGUUUCUCAAUAAUAAUUUUAUGCAAUUGAUUUUUGAAUCUUAUUCUCUCAUUAAAAGAAAGUGAUCCUGUCUUGUUUUCAUAUUCUUGUUAGGUGCAAAGAAAGAUUGGUGUUUCAACUCUGAAUUUGAGAGUUUAGUUCUAAAAGCAAAGAAUGGGAAUUCUCCGCUCUCCCCUAUCCGGAUAAUUUCCCAUUUGGAAAAUAUUGGGAGCAGUCUUGGUAAUGGGAGAGAAGAAGAUGCUCAUGAAUUUCUCAGGUAUGUCAUUGAGACCAUGCAAUCUGUUUGCUUAAAGGAAGCAGGUGUCCGUACAUCAUGCUCUUUGGAAGAGCAGACAAGUCUCAUUGGGCUUACAUUUGGGGGCUUCCUUCGUUCAAAGAUUGAGUGCAUGAGCUGUGGAGGCAAAUCUGAGAGGCAUGAAAGAAUAAUGGACCUUAUAGUUGAAUUGAUGGAG
Molecule: long non-coding RNA, 766 nt
Organism: Ipomoea nil (Japanese morning glory)
Lineage: Eukaryota; Viridiplantae; Streptophyta; Magnoliopsida; Solanales; Convolvulaceae
Exons: 5
Source: RefSeq, a predicted model, not a curated record